GAGGAAUAUUGGUCAAUGGGCGCAGGCCUGAACCAGCCAAGUAGCGUGCAGGACGACGGCCCUAUGGGUUGUAAACUGCUUUUAUGCGGGGAUAAAGUCACUUACGUGUAAGUGUUUGCAGGUACCGCAUGAAUAAGGACCGGCUAAUUCCGUGCCAGCAGCCGCGGUAAUACGGAAGGUCCGGGCGUUAUCCGGAUUUAUUGGGUUUAAAGGGAGCGUAGGCCGCAUGUUAAGCGUGUUGUGAAAUGUAGAUGCCCAACAUCUGAAUUGCAGCGCGAACUGGCAUGCUUGAGUACGCACAACGUUGGCGGAAUUCGUCGUGUAGCGGUGAAAUGCUUAGAUAUGACGAAGAACUCCGAUUGCGAAGGCAGCUGACGGGAGCGCAACUGACGCUGAAGCUCGAAAGUGCGGGUAUCGAAC
This 420-nucleotide ribosomal RNA is filed under the name uncultured bacterium. RNAcentral's name for it is "bacterial SSU rRNA". It matches the Rfam family "Bacterial small subunit ribosomal RNA", at positions 356 to 773 of the family's 1533-position model. The record is from RNAcentral.